UUGGAGGGCAAGUCUGGUGCCAGCAGCCGCGGUAAUUCCAGCUCCAAUAGCGUAUAUUAAAGUUGUUGCAGUUAAAAAGCUCGUAGUUGAACUUCGGGAUCAAGGGAUCGGUCAUGCCUUGGUAUGUACUGGUCUUAUUGGUUCUCACCUUCUAAAGAACCAUAAUGUCAUUCAUUUGAUGUUAUGGGGAAUUAGGACUGUUACCUUGAAAAAAUUAGAGUGUUUAAAGCAGGCUUACGCUUGAAUACAUUAGCAUGGAAUAAUGAAAUAGGACAUCCGAUUCUAUUUUGUUGGUUUCUAGGAUCGAUGUAAUGAUUAAUAGGGAUAGUUGGGGGCAUUAGUAUUCAAUUGUCAGAGGUGAAAUUCUUGGAUUUAUUGAAGACUAACUACUGCGAAAGCAUUUGCCAAGGAUGUUUUCAUUAAUCAAGAACGAAAGUUAGGGGAUCGAAGACGAUCAGAUACCGUCGUAGUCUUAACCAUAAACUAUGCCGACUAGGGAUCGGAUGAUGUUAAUUUUUUAAUGACUCAUUCGGCGCCUUACGGGAAACA
Molecule: ribosomal RNA, 549 nt
Filed under: uncultured Rhizophagus
Lineage: Eukaryota; Fungi; Glomeromycota; Glomeromycetes; Glomerales; Glomeraceae
Description: SSU rRNA
Rfam family: Eukaryotic small subunit ribosomal RNA
Source: RNAcentral